ACUAGUGACAGAGUGAGGGAGGUGGUGACUAGGGACAGUCACCACCUCCCUCACUCUGCCACUAGUCACCCCUUCCCUCACUCUGUCACUGUUCACCCCCUCACUCUAGUGACAGGGGGUGACCAGUGACAGAGGGAGGGGUGACUAGGGACAGAGUGAGGGAGGUGGUGACUAGUGACAGUCACCACCUCCCUCACUCUGUCACUAGUCACCACCUCCCUCCGUCACUGUGUCACCCCCUCCCUCACUGUCACCAGUCAUCCCCUUACUCUGUCACUAGUCACCCCUCCCUCACUCUGCCACUAGUCACCCCUUCCCUCACUCCCUCACUCUGUCACCUGUCACCCCCUCACUCUGUCACUAGUCACCCCCUCACUCUAGUGACAGAGAGAGGGAGGGUGUGACUAGUGACAGUGAGUAAGGGUGUGACCUUAUCCCUCUU
Pelobates cultripes (western spadefoot toad) is the source of this 442-nucleotide non-coding RNA. The record is from the annotation of a GenBank genome assembly. NCBI's taxonomy places the organism in Eukaryota, Metazoa, Chordata, Amphibia, Anura, Pelobatidae.